ACAAAUUCAGAGGUGCCUUAACAUAAAAUUAAGGUUAUAGUGAACUUGUAACCAUCCGUCUCUGCUUGGUACAGCCCCAGUUCAUGUGACGGUGCUCUGGUGUGUGUGGGACCUCGUCGUUGGCGUGCCAGAGGAGGAGAGAGGAGGCAGAUGGAGAUGUGUAUCCUGUGUCACGAAGCGCAGGAGAUCCUACCUGAUGGCACCGCCAUGGUGCUCGCUGCCUUUGUCCAACGCUCUACGGUCAUGUCCAAGAACCGCAAAAGACCCCCUCACAAUCCAGAGAGCUAUGAUCCCCUCUUCAUGCACCCUGACCUGUCCUUUGGUACCCAUACCGACAGCUGUGGCCACAUCAUGCACUCUCUCUGCUGGCAGAGAUACUUUGAGACACUCCAGAGUCAGGAUGCUCAGUGGCUGCAUGAGCAAACCACUUGCGAUGUAGUGAAUGGGAAGUACUUGUGUCCACUCUGUAAGUGUCGCAGUAACACUCAUUCCUCUCCUGCCCCUCACUGAGACCACCUGCAGGUACUCGCAUACAAACUUGUGCUUGUGAUUAUUCUAAGUGGAGUUGCUCUGAAUCCGGACCGCUUAAUAUUUUAACCAUUGCACUGGCGAAUUAGUUGUAGUGGCUCUGUAACCAAUGCAAACUUACCUAUGAAAUGCCAUGGAAGGGUACAGAAUGACACUGUAACAGUGCAUACCCCAUUCCAUUAUUCCUCUUAUUUAUUUAUAUAUUUUAUAGCAAGGGAAUUGAUAUCUUUAGCUGAAUUGCAUGUCUUGCCAUGUUGAGAUCAGAGUAUAGAGUUUCUGCUUGUGUAAGAUGGCUAAUCCACUGCUGUUGCAUGAUAUUUAGUCACACUGACUCAGUUUAUUACAGUAAAUUUGCCUGUUGUCCCAUUGACGUGACAUUUUCUCUGGUUAAAUAGUAAAAUGCAUGCAUGUUUGUAGUUACAGCAAUAGUGAGCAGCCAGGUCUGGCUCAUUGGCUGAAUACAACGUAUAUAAGCAGAUCAGAGCCUUGCACUCUGCUCAUAAGAGGGCCAAGCCAACAAGUGAGUCUCAUCAUAUAUAGUACGUGUGCUCCUUAUUUGUGUGUGUAUGUGUGCACAUGCAGUCAUAUUGUGGUGUUUGUCUUUUAAAUGCUGGUGAGACUGAGACUGUGGAGGACUCUCCUCCUCCUGAGAGUUUCAGGCUGGACCACACACCAGUCAACCCUUAUUCAAGCUCCAUAAGGGAGAUGCUGAUGACAUUUGGGACCGCAACUUAUAAAGUUGGCCUUAAGGUGCACCCUAAUGAGCAGGACCCCCGUGUGCCUAUCAUGUGCUGGGGCAGCUGUUCUUGCACCAUCCAGUCUAUAGAGAGAUUAUUGGUAGAUGAGGAGAACCCUUGUUUGGAAGUUUACCCUGUAGACAGGUAUGACAACCCAACUUAUUGUCAUAUCUCAGCCCAGCCAGGACUCGGUUUCCCGAGAAGCAACACCCACUUCUAACAUGGCCGCUGAGGACUACACUUCCCACACACGCAUGCGCUCACCUCCCCGGAGUUCUGAUCUCACACACCUGCAGCCAAUCACCUUGUCCACUCUCCACGGCUUAUUAAGAGACUUUGGAUCAGAGACACUUUGUGAAGUAAAUGUUCAGCAGACUAGUUUCUCUGUCGUUCUCCAAGCGUUACCUACCGUGUUUAUUCGAUAAGUGACUUUGGCCUCUGUCUUGCCCCGUUUGUUUUGUUUGCAUGAUCGCCUGACCCUCGCUUGCUUCUUGACUAUGGACUGUGUUCACCCCUCUGGAUUAUUCUGCCUGAACCUGCCGCCCGCUUCUGCUUCUGUAUUCCCCACGGAGACUAUUUGAGUUCCCUGGCUCAGUUUGGCUCUGCAUGCUGGACUGUCUCCUCUCACUCCUCUGUGCAAAAUCACUUCAUGUGACUGUUGGCAGCACUUGUUCUUGAUCCCUAGGUGGAAAGUUCCCCCUGCAUUCUGGAUGUGGACAUGUUCCACUUAUUGGGGAGUCUGGUGCUGUCCUAUUCAGCAUUGUACUGCUUAGACUCCUCAGGGCUUAGUGCGGAUACUGCACACCUGCAUCUCUUCCACUUGGUCAUUGUUGCUCACCUGGUCCAGAUCCUCCUCACCUCUGUGCCAGGUUAGAGCAUAUUCUACUUGGAGCACAUACAACUUAACAGUAGAUGGUGAUCUGUGUUAUGUUGUCAUUCGUGUGUGUUUAUUAACCCUCGUUCUUACAACUGAGUAAUAACGUGUUUGUCAGUAUGAAUGUUCUUUUGGGAUGUUUUUAUUGAGUGUGCUGUCAGGCACAGUUGUGUGGGAGUCAAUAAUGGGGCUGUCAAAGUAAUUCACUGCAGCCAACAGCAUUAGAUUUGUGUAGGG
This is a long non-coding RNA of Ictalurus punctatus (channel catfish), 2376 nucleotides long. RefSeq lists it as uncharacterized. NCBI's taxonomy places the organism in Eukaryota, Metazoa, Chordata, Actinopteri, Siluriformes, Ictaluridae. The transcript is spliced from 8 exons. The record is from RefSeq and is a predicted model, not a curated record.